Molecule: ribosomal RNA, 450 nt
Filed under: uncultured bacterium
Lineage: Bacteria
Description: partial 16S ribosomal RNA
Rfam family: Bacterial small subunit ribosomal RNA
Source: RNAcentral
GUGGGGAAUCUUCCGCAAUGGACGAAAGUCUGACGGAGCAACGCCGCGUGAGUGAUGAAGGUCUUCGGAUUGUAAAGCUCUGUUAAUCGGGACGAAAGAGCCUAGUGUGAAUAAUGCUAGGAAGUGACGGUACCGGAAUAGAAAGCCACGGCUAACUACGUGCCAGCAGCCGCGGUAAUACGUAGGUGGCAAGCGUUGUCCGGAAUUAUUGGGCGUAAAGCGCGCGCAGGCGGAUCUGCCAGUCUGUCUUAAAAGUUCGGGGCUUAACCCCGUGAUGGGAUGGAAACUACAGAUCUAGAGUAUCGGAGAGGAAAGUGGAAGUCCUAGUGUAGCGGUGAAAUGCGUAGAUAUUAGGAAGAACACCAGUGGCGAAGGCGACUUUCUGGACGAAAACUGACGCUGAGGCGCGAAAGCCAGGGGAGCGAACGGGAUUAGAAACCCCAGUAGUCC